Molecule: non-coding RNA, 924 nt
Organism: Pelobates cultripes (western spadefoot toad)
Lineage: Eukaryota; Metazoa; Chordata; Amphibia; Anura; Pelobatidae
Source: the annotation of a GenBank genome assembly
GUUUUAACAUCUCUCAGUGUAAGGCAAGAUUAGAUUUUCAUCACACUGUUAACUUCAUAAACACAAUAAAUCCUUACUGAUUUUUGCAUUAGCUUGCCUCUUCUCCUAUAACAAUAUUACUUAAUUCAACCCAUUUAGAGCAUUCGUCAAAAAUGUAUAUAUCACCACAAAUUGUUUUGUUUUUAUGUACAUUAAUGUAAUUUGAUUGCUCUGUCUUUUGAUGUACCCUAAUUCUCUGUAGAGUUGUAAUAUUCUGCUCAGACUAUAUUGCUAUACUUAAUUUUUCAUUUGCAAAUAACUGUUUACACCCAUUGUAAGAUUAAUAUAUACAUUAAGAAGAUGUGGACUCAAGAUAGAACCACAGAUUACUCUGCUUACCACUCUGAUUAACUCUAAGUGCUCACUGACUAGGAGCGCAAUUCACAAGGCCCUCUAUGGUUUUGGAUAUUCCUGGGCACAUAACUAUUGCUUACCUCCCAAGUGUCCCUAUUUAUGACACAUAGGCACUAUUUUGGGCUCAAAUCAGUUUGUCCCUCUUUUCUAUCCAAAUGUCAUUGUUUUCUAGGAGCCUCAUAUUGUUGGUGUGUCUGAGUGUAUAACAGAGCUCCACAGUAAUAAUAUUCAAAGUAAUGUGCCUUUAAACUACAAUACAUGUGUUUGCCAAUUAAUCUAAAUUACAUUUUAGUUGCAUAAAUUGUUAUUAGUAAGUCACCUAAAGUUUCAAAACAGCCAAACCUCUGGCCACACCCCUAAAAUUAAAGUGACCCUCUUUGUCCAUUUGAAAUAUUGAGAGAUAUGCUGUGUUAUCUGGGAUUCUUCAAGAUUGUUCAAGAUUUCUUUUUUUACACGAACACUAUAGCAUUAGAAAUACAAACCUGUAUUCCUAACGCUAUAGUUCCUCUCUGUCUAGUCAUAUACUUCCUC